Transfer RNA from Ovis aries (sheep), 73 nucleotides. It matches the Rfam family "tRNA". From Rfam's summary of the family: Transfer RNA (tRNA) molecules are approximately 80 nucleotides in length. Their secondary structure includes four short double-helical elements and three loops (D, anti-codon, and T loops). The record is from Rfam. Lineage: Eukaryota; Metazoa; Chordata; Mammalia; Artiodactyla; Bovidae.
UCCCUGGUAGUCCCAUAGCUAAGACUCCCAGCUUCCAAUGCAGGGGAUCCAGGUUCAAUCCCUGGUCAGGGAA